RNAcentral lists this ribosomal RNA (506 nucleotides) under uncultured bacterium. Its description in RNAcentral is "bacterial SSU rRNA". It matches the Rfam family "Bacterial small subunit ribosomal RNA", at positions 18 to 518 of the family's 1533-position model. The record is from RNAcentral.
CUUGGUUCAGGAUGAACGCUAGCGGCAGGCUUAACACAUGCAAGUCGAGGGGCAUCGGGAGUAGCAAUACUUGCCGGCGACCGGCGCAAGGGUGCGUAACGCGUGAGCAACAUGCCCGUAUCAGGGGGAUAAUCCAUGGAAACGUGGUCUAGUACCCAUAGUAAUUAUGUAAGGCAUCUUAUAUAAUUUAAAGCUUUGGUGGAUACGGAUUGGCUCGCGUGACAUUAGCUAGAUGGUAAGGUAACGGCUUACCAUGGCUACGAUGUCUAGGGGUUCUGAGAGGAAGGUCCCCCACACUGGAACUGAGACACGGUCCAGACUCCUACGGGAGGCAGCAGUGAGGAAUAUUGGACAAUGGAUGGAAAUCUGAUCCAGCCAUGCCGCGUGCAGGAAGAACCGGCCCUAUGGGUUGUAAACUGCUUUUGUAUGGGAGCAAUAAGGGCUACGUGUAGUCCGAUGAGAGUACCAUACGAAUAAGCACCGGCUAACUCCGUGCCAGCAGCUGC